RNAcentral lists this ribosomal RNA (964 nucleotides) under Rhizidium phycophilum. RNAcentral's name for it is "SSU rRNA". It matches the Rfam family "Eukaryotic small subunit ribosomal RNA", at positions 84 to 1060 of the family's 1831-position model. Lineage: Eukaryota; Fungi; Chytridiomycota; Chytridiomycetes; Chytridiales; Chytriomycetaceae. The record is from RNAcentral.
AAACUGCGAAUGGCUCAUUAAAUCAGUUAUAGUUUAUUUGAUAUAACCUUACUACUUGGAUAUCCGUGGUAAUUCUAGAGCUAAUACAUGCAAUUAAAAUCCUGACUUCUGGAAGGGAUGUAUUUAUUAGAUAAAAAACCAACCCGGCAACGGUUCUUUGGUGAUUCAUAGUAACUUUUCGAAUCGCAUGACUUUACGUCGGCGAUGGUUCAUUCAAAUUUCUGCCCUAUCAAGUUUCGAUGGUAGGAUAGAGGCCUACCAUGCUUUUUACGGGUAACGGCGAAUUAGGGUUCGAUUCCGGAGAGGGAGCCUGAGAAACGGCUACCACAUCUAAGGAAGGCAGCAGGCGCGCAAAUUACCCAAUCCUGAUUCAGGGAGGUAGUGACAAUAAAUAACAAUCCAGGACUUCGGUCUUGGAAUUGGAAUGAGAACAAUUUAAAUCUCUUAUCGAGGAACAAUUGGAGGGCAAGUCUGGUGCCAGCAGCCGCGGUAAUUCCAGCUCCAAUAGCGUAUAUUAAAGUUGUUGCAGUUAAAUAGCUCGUAGUUGAAUCUUGGGGCUGGUUUGGCGGUCGCGUCUUUGACGUGUACUGUCGGCCGGUUCUUUUACUUGUGGGGAACGUAUGUGCCCUUUGCGGGGUGUGUACGGGAACCAUGGCUGUUACUUUGAAAAAAUUAGAGUGUUUAAAGCGGGCGUAAGCUUGUAUACAUUAGCAUGGAAUAAUAGAAUAGGACUUUGGUUUUAUUUUGUUGGUUUCUAGGGCCGAAGUAAUGAUUAAUAGGGAUAGUUGGGGGCAUUAGUAUUUAAUAGUCAGAGGUGAAAUUCUUGGAUUUAUGAAAGACUAACUUCUGCGAAAGCAUUUGCCAAGGAUGUUUUCAUUAAUCAAGAACGAAAGUCAGGGGAUCGAAGAUGAUCAGAUACCGUCGUAGUCCUGACCGUAAACUAUGCCGACUAGGGAUCGGGCGU